UGGGUUUUCACCAUGUUGGCCAGCCCGGUCUUGAACUCCAUCAGCCUCCCAAAGUGCUGGGAUUACAGACGUGAGCCGGCAUGCCCGGCCUCCCUGCUGAAUCCUUUCUUCAUUUUAUCAUAAUCCUUCUAAAUGGAAAGCACAAUGACACAGAAGGAAAUACAGAAGGCCCCAAAUUAGGAAUCUUGGAUUUUAGACCCAGUGUUCCCCUAACUGCUUAAAGUGUGACCUCAAGUGAGACUUGAGAAUCUGGUGGAAAGGGUGAAAAGGCCAUAAGAUCAGCAAUCACCACUUCUCAUGAAAAAAGAUCCUCAUUAACAAUACAAGCAAG
This is a long non-coding RNA of Pongo pygmaeus (Bornean orangutan), 331 nucleotides long. RefSeq lists it as uncharacterized. The transcript has 3 exons. The record is from RefSeq and is a predicted model, not a curated record. Lineage: Eukaryota; Metazoa; Chordata; Mammalia; Primates; Hominidae.